UACGGGGGGGGCAAGCGUUGUUCGGAAUUACUGGGCGUAAAGCGCGUUCAGGCGGUCAGGCAAGUCGGGCAUGAAAUCUCUCGGCUCAACCGGGAGAGGUUGUCCGAUACUGCCGGACUGGAGGGCAGUAGAGGGUGGUGGAAUUCCGGGUGUAGUGGUGAAAUGCGUAGAUAUCCGGAGGAACACUAGUGGCGAAAGCGGCCACCUGGACUGUACCUGACGCUGAAACGCGAAAGCUAGGGGAGCGAACGGG
RNAcentral lists this ribosomal RNA (253 nucleotides) under uncultured bacterium. RNAcentral's name for it is "partial 16S ribosomal RNA". It matches the Rfam family "Bacterial small subunit ribosomal RNA", at positions 524 to 776 of the family's 1533-position model. The record is from RNAcentral.